RNAcentral lists this non-coding RNA (167 nucleotides) under uncultured Sporosarcina sp. The record is from RNAcentral. Lineage: Bacteria; Bacillati; Bacillota; Bacilli; Caryophanales; Caryophanaceae.
AGGUGCUUUUUUCGUUUGUAUGAAAGCUUAAAAGGGAAGUUCGGUGAAAAACCGACGCUGUCCCGCAACUGUAAAUGGGAGCAAUCUUUUUAAUUCCACUGUUACUAAUUCGUAAUGGGAAGGGAAAAGAACGCGAUGAUCAUGAGCCAGGAGACCUGCCUAUUUCA